Malus domestica (apple) is the source of this 1229-nucleotide RNA transcript. It is a transcript of the gene named leucine-rich repeat protein 1, with no coding region annotated. Lineage: Eukaryota; Viridiplantae; Streptophyta; Magnoliopsida; Rosales; Rosaceae. The record is from RefSeq and is a predicted model, not a curated record.
UAAAAUAAUUUCAGCAAUACUAAACCAGCCUGUAGUUGGAUUAUCUUAUGCACAAAUUAAUCUAUCAAGCUAAAUAAUCUGUACAAUCCAAUAAAAGACCAAAGUGAGUCUUCUCUUGAGCCAUUGACUCUGCUACCUCUCUCCCUCUCUCCCCCCUAGACAACGCAAAACAGAGUAAGGCAAGGCAAAAAGGAAGGAAAAGAAAAGCCCUACAGCCCAACAGAAGAAGAAGAAGCUGAUUCGGCGUCAACCACUGGCCAUGGCGGCGGCAUCCAGGUUCUUCUUCACUCUAACCCUAACCCUAAGCGUAUGCCUCCUUCCGCUGGUGUAUGCCAACUCCGAAGGCGACGCUUUGUACACGUUCCGGCGGAGCUUGUCGGAUCCCGAUAACCUGCUCCAGAGCUGGGAUCCUACCCUCGUCAACCCUUGCACUUGGUUUCACAUCACCUGCAACCAGGACAAUCGCGUUACCCGAGUGGAUUUAGGUAAUUCAAACCUCUCUGGACAUUUGGUACCUGAACUAGGAAAGCUUGAGCAUCUUCAAUAUCUGGAGCUUUACAAAAAUAACAUUCAAGGAACUAUUCCAGCUGAGCUUGGUAACCUGAAGAGCCUCAUUAGCUUGGACUUAUAUAACAACAACAUAUCGGGGACCAUUCCUCCGUCGUUGGGGAAAUUGAAAUCACUUGUGUUUUUGCGUCUCAAUGACAAUAGGUUAACUGGGCCAAUCCCCAGGGAUCUUACGGGUAUUUCAAGCCUCAAAGUUGUGGAUGUAUCAAACAAUAAUUUAUGUGGGACGAUUCCUACCAGUGGACCAUUUGAGCACAUCCCCUUGAACAAGAAGUUUAAACAAUUUAUUUCUUAGCGUUUGGUACGGUCAAGAGCAAGUUGAGUUUCAAUGCGAAGGAAACAUAGCUUUGAGAACAACCAUCGACUCGAAGGUCCAGAAUUGUUGGGGCUUGCAAGUUACGAUACAAACUGCUCGUAAAGAAGAUGGAAUCUUGACUCUUUGAAUUAGAUAUCUACGUUAUAAAAGUGUGUCGUCGUCAGAAUAUAGGGGUUGGUUAUAAACUAUAUUCCUCAUAUAAAGAAUAUUUGUAAAUUUGGUGAUACUAAAUGGCAUCGACACACUUGUAACUGUAUCGUUGCGGUCGUGGUAAUACGUUGAAGACAUGAUUUGCGUUGGUUUAGUAGCAGUAAAAGUUUUAUGGUAAUCUUCCCCUUUAUUCUUA